This 430-nucleotide ribosomal RNA is filed under the name Acidobacteriota bacterium. Its description in RNAcentral is "Acidobacteria bacterium partial 16S ribosomal RNA". It matches the Rfam family "Bacterial small subunit ribosomal RNA", at positions 355 to 776 of the family's 1533-position model. The record is from RNAcentral. Lineage: Bacteria; Pseudomonadati; Acidobacteriota.
UGGGGAAUAUUGGACAAUGGGCGGAAGCCUGAUCCAGCCAUGCCGCGUGUGUGAAGAAGGCCUUUUGGUUGUAAAGCACUUUAAGCGAGGAGGAGGCUACUUGGAUUAAUACUCUAGGAUAGUGGACGUUACUCGCAGAAUAAGCACCGGCUAACUCUGUGCCAGCAGCCGCGGUAAUACAGAGGGUGCGAGCGUUAAUCGGAUUUACUGGGCGUAAAGCGUGCGUAGGCGGCUUCUUAAGUCGGAUGUGAAAUCCCUGAGCUUAACUUAGGAAUUGCAUUCGAUACUGGGAAGCUAGAGUAUGGGAGAGGAUGGUAGAAUUCCAGGUGUAGCGGUGAAAUGCGUAGAGAUCUGGAGGAAUACCGAUGGCGAAGGCAGCCAUCUGGCCUAAUACUGACGCUGAGGUACGAAAGCAUGGGGAACAAACAGG